UAAAUAUUCCCAUCCCCGGAAUUCUACGGAAGGGAAUAUCCUUCAACCGGAAUAAAAACCUAUGCAUUAACAUUUUGACUACGAUAUUACAUGUUACCGGAAGUUGCGUAAGCGGAAAUUCCACUACCCGUAACCCGGAUGGAGGUGUAAUGCCGCGGGAGCUUAAAUACAUGCAACGCCCACCCGAUGCGAUGGAAAAGACAACGGUGAAACAGCUUUUCACUUCGCAUUUUUCGAUCAUCAGAUUCUAAACGACGACGUGCAAGUGAGUUUUUAUUGCCGUGCGUUUUACUGUAAUUGUGAAUUAUUUUAACUUUAUUCACUUACGUCCUGUAGAACGCGGCACUGGCUUAAAAGCAGCACCCACUCGACAUGACCGAAGAAACGUGUUCGCUUCGCCGUUUUCAUUCAUCAGAUUCGAAGCGAAGACGUGUCAUCGCAUCGAAACGUAGAAGAACUGUAACAACUGGAGCGGAGCGAGUGAAAUGCAUCCGUUUGAGCGAGGCUGGACACAAAGUUAAAAAGAUCCAGCAGACACUUGGGGUCGGAAAGACGCAAAUCUACGAAACUUUAAACAACAAGGCAUCGAUUCAACUCCUGAUGACAAGCCACCAUCCAGCAAGGAAGCAAUGCAAAUGGCAAAAUACUUCAGUAUGCACAAGAAUUACCAGACAUCGGUGAUCAACGGGACAGUUACUUGCAACUAGCAAGAGAACUGUAUGACACGCAGGCAAACAAUGUCAUAAACCAAAGAAUGCAUCCAACAAAACAAUCCAAAAUACAUAUUUUUUCCCCAAGACAGAAAAAAAUAAACAUUAAAAUACUGUACGUAUUUUACUGUUGUGAUUUUUUUGGGAUACACCUGAAUUGCAGUUUUUGUUAUAUAAACAGUUUUUGGACAGUA
Molecule: long non-coding RNA, 904 nt
Organism: Hippocampus zosterae (dwarf seahorse)
Lineage: Eukaryota; Metazoa; Chordata; Actinopteri; Syngnathiformes; Syngnathidae
Exons: 2
Source: RefSeq, a predicted model, not a curated record